This 1268-nucleotide long non-coding RNA is filed under the name Phascolarctos cinereus (koala). Its description in RNAcentral is "lncRNA (ENSPCIG00000032223.1)". The record is from RNAcentral. Lineage: Eukaryota; Metazoa; Chordata; Mammalia; Diprotodontia; Phascolarctidae.
CUUCCUUAGUUGUAAAAUGAGGAUAAUAGUGGAACCUUGCUCACAAGGUUGUUGGGGGGGGAGCAAUUAAUAUAUAAAGCAUUUUGCAGGUCUUAAAGCACCAUGUAAAUUGUUGUUAUUAGAGAUUAAUAGAGGCAACGACAAAUGAAAGUAAAAAAACAAGGAAGAGUAAAAAGAAAGGAUAUGUAAGAGACUGAGGAAAGGACAGGUAGAUAUGGGGGGCACUGUGUGGAUUCAUUUUAUUUAAUUCAUUAGAUUUAUUUGAUGAAAAAUUUCUUAAAAUUUUGGUCAGAGUUGGGGGUCAGUGGGAUUAGCAAUAGUAAUGCCAAAAUAAAAGGAGCAUUGAAACAUUUUUAAAUGAACAGAAAAGAAGGAAGUUAAAAAGUAAUCAGACAAGUAGUACAGUUUUGAAAGUAACAUGGAAUUUAUUAUAUUUUUUAAAUCAAGCAGUAUGAAAUUGGGGUUCAUGAUUUCAUAUAGAAUCCAUCCUUAUUUUGGGUGUUUUAAGUUCAGAAUAAAAACAAUUCUGAAAAACGGAGAAGGGGAGUAAGAACCUCUCUGUCUCUCCCAGGGCCAGUCCAGCAGGACCAUAGCUAAGAAGUGAACACCUGGACUGGAGGCAGAGGGUGGGAUUGGGGGUGGAAGGAAAAGAUUCUUUCUUUUUCUGUUUUCCAGACUAAGGUCAGGGAGACCACAGCAAGAAGAUGAAGAGCUGAGGGAAAGAAAACUGGUCUCCCUGGGCCCAGCCAACAGAAUGAGAGAGAAAGUGAUGAUUCUCUCUCCCUCUCCUUCUGCUUCUCCCUGCCUCUCUCUGCAAAGCCAGCAGAACCACAGAAAAGAGAUGAACAGUUGGGGUGAAGGUGAAGGGUGACAGGAAAGACUUGCUUUCUCCUUUCCAGUCAGGCCAGCAGGACCAUGGCAACAAGAUGACCAGAAGGGAAAAGGAGACACUCUCUCUCCCUGUCUUCCUCUUCCCCUGGACCCAGCAAACAAGACUACACCAGCAGGCCCAAGAGGAGACAAGAAGACAAGGAGGAAGACUGUCUCUGUCUCUCUUACUAGAUACAACCGUGGGGAGGUAAGAGGGAGCACUUCUCUCUCCCCCUCCCUAGAACCCUGGAAUCCAGAAGACAGCCAGAGGAGAGGUAGCAGUGAGACUCUUUCUUCCUGCACCUUGCCACAAGAUCCAAGGGAUUGUCUUACUCACCCUCUCUCUCCCAUUGCUGUCCUACCCAUGCCCCCCAGAUGGGCUCUUCCUAAGCUGAACU